Molecule: small RNA, 547 nt
Filed under: Pan troglodytes (chimpanzee)
Lineage: Eukaryota; Metazoa; Chordata; Mammalia; Primates; Hominidae
Description: processed transcript
Source: RNAcentral
AUAGCCAUCGUUCAUAUAUUAUACUACACCAGGGAAUUCACAUAGGAUGAGAACUCUUCAAAUGAAAUGAUUGUAAGAAUGACUUUAACUGUUGCUCAUUUCUUUUACACCAUCAAAGAAUUAAUACCAAAGAAAGGAAGAUUACAAGGAAACAAAUAGGUCUUGGGACUUUUUUUUUUUUUUUGAGACAGAAUCUUGCUCUGUCACCCAGGCGGAGGUUGCAGUGAGCCAGGAUAGCACCACUGCACUCCAGCCUGGGUAACAGAGCAAGACCCUGUCUCAUAAAUAAAUAAAUACAUAAAGGUGUAAAUAUAUGGAUUCUAGAGUCAAUGAGCAAAGGUAUUGUUGUUACUAAUAGGUGAUUUUGGAAUGAAGAAAAACUGGCCAUAAAAUACAGUUGAAGAUUUGGCUGCAUUUUUGCCUUACGAUUACAUACCUUAAUAAUUACAACUCAAUUGAGGGGUCCAUAUAUAUUCUUUCUCAUUUUCUGGCAGUAAAUCAUAUUCAUCAUAUACGUCCCAAUUUUGCACACACAAAAAAUGAAAAU